This 73-nucleotide transfer RNA is filed under the name Stegodyphus mimosarum. It matches the Rfam family "tRNA". From Rfam's summary of the family: Transfer RNA (tRNA) molecules are approximately 80 nucleotides in length. Their secondary structure includes four short double-helical elements and three loops (D, anti-codon, and T loops). The record is from Rfam by way of RNAcentral. Lineage: Eukaryota; Metazoa; Arthropoda; Arachnida; Araneae; Eresidae.
GCCUUCGUGGUGCAAUGGUCAACACACUGGGCUCAUAUUCGGGAGGUCUGAGGUUCGAGUCCCGUCGAGGGCA